AUUUCAGCCCGAGGCUUCGGAGUGGCCAUACGUCUUGGGAGAGCGAGAAUUGCCUCCUCUGAGGGAGAGAGGGGCGUGGGGGGGGCAAACAAGUAACCACCGACCGGUUCGCCUUCUAAUCCUAUUGCAAGAGCUUCGUGCGGCAGCGUUUGGCCGACACAUCCUGAGCCUCGCAUGAGGGCGUUCAGACGAAGACAUGGAGAGCACGACUUUAAACCCAGUCCGUCGUGGCUGCACCGAGCAAAGGACGAAUAUGCGUUGUGUAUCAGCCGGGGGAACUGGCCCAAGAACAUCACACAACUGGUGCACCGGUCCAGACAUAUUCCAGGAUCCUGGAUUUGCUUUGUGGGGACAUGAACGAGUCGUUUAUCACCGAUUCCAGCCAAGAGAGAAGCCUCGAGAAGAUCCACCUGACAAGUGGUUUCAUCACUUUCGCCACGUACCAAAUGUUCCACCCCAUUGACAAAGAUUUUCAGGCACCACCUAUUACUAAGUCUAAAAUAACAUAACUCCAACCUUCCUCUCAGACUUCCUGUUUGCACCUCUGUGGACGAGCUGUCCCAUCGAUGUAUGUAUCGGUGUUUGUCUUUUCCGGGGAGAUUGAAAGCAUGACGUUUGUUGUUUGCCGUGACUCAAGGAGCAACACUAGCAGCCGGCAAUCAGCGACAAGUGUUUUCAUACAAAAAGGCCUUUUAAAGUGCUGCAGGUUAUCAAGCAGCACUGGCUACACUUUCACUUCAGUGAGUUAUUCUUCCAUUUUCAGUAGCACACAUGACAGGUGGUACCUUUACAAUUUUGAAAUAAACUAAUUAAUUGAAUGCUUACAGCUAUAAUACUUCAGUUUUUAUACUUUACACAUUAUUUCAGCAGUAAAAUGUCACCAAACUACACAUGCUCAUGAAUCACCCGACUGCUGGCUGGGU
Long non-coding RNA from Gasterosteus aculeatus aculeatus (three-spined stickleback), 923 nucleotides. The record is from Ensembl. Lineage: Eukaryota; Metazoa; Chordata; Actinopteri; Perciformes; Gasterosteidae.